This is a long non-coding RNA of Leopardus geoffroyi (Geoffroy's cat), 1523 nucleotides long. RefSeq lists it as uncharacterized. The record is from RefSeq and is a predicted model, not a curated record. Lineage: Eukaryota; Metazoa; Chordata; Mammalia; Carnivora; Felidae. The transcript is spliced from 3 exons.
CCUGCCCUGCCCUAGAGUUAGUCUCUGCCUGACUCUGGCUUGCUCAACAAAUCCUGCCCUAUGCACCCUCCACUCCAGCCCUAUGCGACCAGAAAGUGAAGCGCCUCGUGCCUGGCUUCCGAGUUAUGGGACCGUCUCACCCAGAGCAAAGUGAAGGAGGAAGGGCAGAAGGAUGACGGAGGGUUAAAGAUGAGUAAACCAGAUUUACCUGGGGCCAGAACCCAAUCGCCCUAUGGCCACACCAAGAAGGAUGACCGUCUCCUGCAUCAUUAAGGGGGUAAGCUGUGAAUCUGGAAUAACAGCCCUUGGCCGGGCUCUGAGAUAACACUGUAAGUAUAAUACAAAUUCAUUCAACGAACUCGUUGAACAUCUACUGUGUGCCAGGCACUGCGGUAGAAGAUGGGAGUAAACCAUGAGUAAGACAUAGUCUCUGCCCUCAGAGGUCCCACAGAGCAGUGAGGGGAACAGACAAGAAAAGACACCGACACCUUGACACCUAUGCCUAUAACAAUGAGGGCUCCCUCAGUACCAGGUACGUGCCUGAAGGUGUCCACUUAUUAUUUCACAUGGUACUGAAAUUGACCUGGGGAGGCGGGUAAUAUUAUUCUCAUUUAAUAGAUAAAAGAGGUGAGGCUAAGAGAAUUUUACUUGCCCAAGAUCACACAACUCGGCUGGUGGCAGAAUAAAGAUGUGGACUUGGCCUUGCCUGGCUCCAGCUGUGAUCUGGCUAUCCCCCUCAUGGUUUGUUAGAAACAUGUCUUGGUUCUUCUUCCCUGCCUUGCCCCUGCUGCAGAAACUCUUGGUCUGCCCGCUGUACAACGUGGUUCCCCAGGAUGCAAUCUACCUCCUUCGAACAGGGAGAGCAGAGGCUUUGGCUUGUCACAAGAGCUAGAUGUGCUUUAGCGUUUUCAGGGCCCCUGCCCUCAAGGAGCCUACAGUCUAGGAGAAAAGAUUUGAUGCAUACAAAUAUCCAGGUUAUAAGAAUGACGAAUCUAUGAGCUGUUUUAUAUUUUUAAGACAGUCUCAGCCUGACAACAGACAGUUGUCUCCCCUGACAACACUUUUGCAAUCUCCAUAAUGGAUUCCCUACAUUGCAUUAUAUUUAUAUUCUACACUUGUAGUUGUGAAGCCCUUCAAAGCUCUGACUUUGAUAUGAUCUCACAUCUUGUAUAUUUCUCAAAUCUAGCAUCCUUAUUCCUGGGGCAGAUAUCACUGCCCUCUUAUUUCUUGCCUAGGUUCUCACCACAGCCUUUUUACAGCCCCCUCCCUCAAAUCUCUCCAUUCUUCACAUUGUAGUCAGAGUGAUCUUGAACUGCCAAUUUUGGGUGGAUCCCUUGCUUAAAACCCUCGAUGGCACACCACAACCCCCAGGAUGAAUCCAAGCUUCUAAGCCUGGUAUUCCAGACUCUCCCAUUAUGUCUUGCACAUUCUGUGCUUUAGCAACAUUCUCUGCCCUGGCAAGAGGGGGCUGCUUACAAUCUCCUUCUACGCACUCUGCUGUUCCCCAGCUCUGGGCCCAUGUC